This 5746-nucleotide long non-coding RNA is filed under the name Homo sapiens (human). The record is from RNAcentral. Lineage: Eukaryota; Metazoa; Chordata; Mammalia; Primates; Hominidae.
UGGAAUGAAAUGGUUAAAGAUGGAGAAAUUGUAUACACUGGAACAGAAUCAACCCAGAACGGAUAGCUCCCUCCUGGAAAAGCUUUUGUCUGGUCCUCUGAGCCCCAGUGAGAGUUUCCUGAGGUACCUCACCCUUCCACAAGACAACAGGCUUGCCAUUGAUCUGCAACAAACGGCGGUUGUUGUCAUGGCCCAUUUAGACCGUCUGGCUACACCCUGUAGAUGCCUCCUCUGUGUAGCUCUCCGACGUCUCAUAAGAGUCAUUUUUUACAGGUCAGAACUGUAGAAAUAAUGAGAAAGUGACAUUUGUACGCAUAGCUGAUUUGGAGAACCAUAAUAACGAUGGAGGCUUCUGGACUGUGAUUGACGGGAAAGUGUAUGAUAUAAAGGACUUCCAGACACAGUCGUUAACAGAAAAUAGUAUUCUUGCUCAGUUUGCAGGGGAAGACCCAGUGGUAGCUUUGGAAGCUGCUUUGCAGUUUGAAGACACCCGGGAAUCCAUGCACGCAUUUUGUGUUGGCCAGUAUUUGGAGCCUGACCAAGAAGGCGUCACCAUACCAGAUCUGGGGAGUCUCUCCUCACCUCUGAUAGACACAGAGAGGAAUCUGGGCCUGCUUCUCGGAUUACACGCUUCCUAUUUAGCAAUGAGCACACCGCUGUCUCCUGUCGAGAUUGAAUGUGCCAAAUGGCUUCAGUCAUCCAUCUUCUCUGGAGGCCUGCAGACCAGCCAGAUCCACUACAGCUACAACGAGGAGAAAGACGAGGACCACUGCAGCUCCCCAGGGGGCACACCUGCCAGCAAAUCUCGACUCUGCUCCCACAGACGGGCCCUGGGGGACCAUUCCCAGGCAUUUCUGCAAGCCAUUGCAGACAACAACAUUCAGGAUCACAACGUGAAGGACUUUUUGUGUCAAAUAGAAAGGUACUGUAGGCAGUGCCAUUUGACCACACCGAUCAUGUUUCCCCCCGAGCAUCCCGUGGAAGAGGUCGGUCGCUUGCUGUUAUGUUGCCUCUUAAAACAUGAAGAUUUAGGUCAUGUGGCAUUAUCUUUAGUUCAUGCAGGUGCACUUGAUAUUGAGCAAGUAAAGCACAGAACGUUGCCUAAGUCAGUGGUGGAUGUUUGUAGAGUUGUCUACCAAGCAAAAUGUUCGCUCAUUAAGACUCAUCAAGAACAGGGCCGUUCUUACAAGGAGGUCUGCGCUCCUGUCAUCAAACGUUUGAGAUUCCUCUUUAAUGAAUUGAGACCUGCUGUUUGUAAUGACCUCUCUAUAAUGUCUAAGUUUAAAUUGUUAAGUUCUUUGCCCCAUUGGAGGAGGAUAGCUCAGAAGAUAAUUCGAGAACCAAGGAAAAAGAGAGUUCCUAAGAAGCCAGAAUCUACGGAUGAUGAAGAAAAAAUUGGAAACGAAGAGAGUGAUUUAGAAGAAGCUUGCAUUUUGCCUCAUAGUCCAAUAAAUGUGGACAAGAGACCCAUUGCAAUUAAAUCACCCAAGGACAAAUGGCAGCCGCUGUUGAGUACUGUUACAGAUGUUCACAAAUACAAGUGGUUGAAGCAGAAUGUGCAGGGUCUUUAUCCGCAGUCUCCACUCCUCAGUACAAUUGCUGAAUUUGCCCUUAAAGAAGAGCCAGUGGAUGUGGAAAAGAGAAAGUGCCUACUAAAACAGUUGGAGAGAGCAGAGGUUCGCCUGGAAGGGAUAGAUACAAUUUUAAAAUUGUAUCUGGUGAGCAAGAAUUUCUUACUUCCAUCUGUGCCGUAUGCGAUGUUUUGUGGAUGGCAAAGACUUAUUCCUGAGGGAAUCGAUAUAGGGGAACCUCUUACUGAUUGUUUAAAGGAUGUUGAUUUGAUCCCGCCUUUUAAUCGGAUGCUGCUGGAAGUCACCUUUGGCAAGCUGUACGCUUGGGCUGUUCAGAACAUUCGAAAUGUUUUGGUGGAUGCCAGUGCCAAAUUUAAAGAGCUUGGUAUCCAGCCGGUUCCCCUGCAAACCAUCACCAAUGAGAACCCAUCGGGACCGAGCCUGGGGACCAUCCCGCAAGCCCACUUCCUCCUGGUGAUGCUCAGCAUGCUCACCCUGCAGCACAGCGCAAACAACCUUGACCUCCUGCUCAAUUCCGGCACGCUGGCCCUCGCUCAGACGGCACUGCGCCUGAUUGGCCCCAGUUGUGACAGCGUUGAGGAAGAUAUGAAUGCUUCUGCCCAAGGUGCUUCUGCCACAGUUUUGGAAGAAACAAGGAAGGAAACGGCUCCUGUGCAGCUCCCUGUUUCAGGGCCAGAACUGGCUGCCAUGAUGAAGAUUGGAACAAGGGUCAUGAGAGGUGUGGACUGGAAAUGGGGCGAUCAGGAUGGGCCUCCUCCAGGCCUAGGCCGAGUGAUUGGUGAGCUGGGAGAGGACGGGUGGAUAAGAGUCCAGUGGGACACAGGCAGCACCAACUCCUACAGGAUGGGGAAAGAAGGAAAAUACGACCUCAAGCUGGCAGAGCUGCCAGCCCCUGCACAGCCCUCAGCAGAGGAUUCGGACACAGAGGACGACUCUGAAGCCGAACAAACUGAAAGGAACAUUCACCCCACUGCAAUGAUGUUUACCAGCACUAUUAACUUACUGCAGACUCUUUGUCUGUCUGCUGGAGUUCAUGCUGAGAUCAUGCAGAGUGAAGCCACCAAGACUUUAUGCGGACUGCUGCGAAUGUUAGUGGAAAGCGGAACGACGGACAAGACAUCUUCUCCAAACAGGCUGGUGUACAGGGAGCAACACCGGAGCUGGUGCACGCUGGGGUUUGUGCAGAGCAUCGCUCUCACGCUGCAGGUGUGCGGCGCCCUCAGCUCCCCGCAGUGGAUCACGCUGCUCAUGAAGGUUGUGGAAGGGCACGCACCCUUCACUGCCACCUCGCUGCAGAGGCAGAUCUUAGCUGUGCAUUUGUUGCAAGCAGUCCUUCCGUCAUGGGACAAGACCGAAAGGGUGAGGGACAUGAAAUGCCUCAUGGAGAAGCUGUUUGACUUCUUGGGGAGCUUGCUCACUAUGUGCUCCUCUGACGUGCCGUUACUCAGAGAGUCCACGCUGAGGCGGCGCAGGGUGUGCCCGCAGGCCUCGCUGACUGCCACCCACAGCAGCACACUGGCGGAGGAGGUGGUGGCACUGCUGCACACGCUGCACUCCCUGACUCGGUGGAAUGGGCUCAUCAACAAGUACAUCAACUCCCAGCUCCGCUCCAUCACCCACAGCUUUGCGGGAAGGCCUUCCAAAGGGGCCCAGUUAGAUGACUACUUCCCUGAUUCCGAGAACCCUGAAGUGGGGGGCCUCAUGGCGGUCCUGGCUGUGGUUGGAGGCAUCGAUGGUCGCCUGUGCCUGGGCGGCCAAGUUGUGCACGAUGACUUUGGAGAAGUCACCAUGACUCGCAUCACCCUGAAGGGCAAAAUCACCGUGCAGUUCUCUGACAUGCGGACGUGUCGCGUUUGCCCAUUGAAUCAGCUGAAACCACUCCCUGCCGUGGCCUUUAAUGUGAACAACCUGCCCUUCACAGAGCCCAUGCUGUCUGUCUGGGCUCAGUUGGUGAACCUCGCUGGAAGCAAGUUAGAAAAGCACAAAAUAAAGAAAUCGACUAAACAGGCCUUUGCAGGACAAGUGGACCUGGACCUGCUGCGGCGCCAGCAGUUGAAGCUAUACAUCCUGAAAGCAGGUCGGGCGCUGUUCUCCCACCAGGAUAAACUGCGGCAGAUCCUGUCUCAGCCAGCUGUUCAGGAGACUGGAACUGUUCACACAGAUGAUGGAGCAGUGGUAUCACCUGACCUUGGGGACAUGUCUCCUGAAGGGCCGCAGCCCCCCAUGAUCCUCUUGCAGCAGCUGCUGGCCUCGGCCACCCAGCCGUCUCCUGUGAAGGCCAUAUUUGAUAAACAGGAACUUGAGACUGCUGCACUGGCCGUUGUGGAGUCCACUCACCCUUCGAGCCCAGGAUUUGAAGACUGCAGCUCCAGUGAGGCCACCACGCCUGUCAACGUGCAGCACAUCCGCCCUGCCAGAGUGAAGAGGCGCAAGCAGUCACCCGUUCCCGCUCUGCCGAUCGUGGUGCAGCUCAUGGAGAUGGGAUUUCCCAGAAGGAACAUCGAGUUUGCCCUGAAGUCUCUCACUGGUGCUUCCGGGAAUGCGUCCGGCUUGCCUGGUGUGGAAGCCUUGGUCGGGUGGCUGCUGGACCACUCCGACAUACAGGUCACGGAGCUCUCAGAUGCAGACACGGUGUCCGACGAGUAUUCUGACGAGGAGGUGGUGGAGGACAUGGAUGAUGCCGCCUACUCCAUGUCUACUGGUGCUGUUGUGACGGAGAGCCAGACGUACAAAAACCGAGCUGGUUUCUUGGGUAAUGAUGAUUAUGCUGUAUAUGUGAGAGAGAAUAUUCAGGUGGGAAUGAUGGUUAGAUGCUGCCGAACAUACGAAGAAGUGUGCGAAGGUGAUGUGAUGUUGGCAAAGUCAUCAAGCUGGACAGAGAUGGAUUGCAUGAUCUCAAUGUGCAGUGUGACUGGCAGCAGAAAGGGGGCAUCUACUGGUUUAGGUACAUUCAUGUGGAACUUAUAGGCUAUCCUCCACCAAGAAGUUCUUCUCACAUCAAGAUUGGUGAUAAAGUGCGGGUCAAAGCCUCUGUCACCACACCAAAAUACAAAUGGGGAUCUGUGACUCAUCAGAGUGUGGGGGUUGUGAAAGGUGUGAUGGAUGUCAGAUGUUUCCUAUCAAUGGAUCCAGAUUCAAAUGCAGAAACUGUGAUGACUUUGAUUUUUGUGAAACGUGUUUCAAGACCAAAAAACACAAUACCAGGCAUACAUUUGGCAGAAUAAAUGAACCAGGCUUCAGCAGAAGAAACACUUCCUAUAAAUCUCGCCCAAACAGGAAAGGAGAAGCAUUAGGGUGUCCGACUACGUGGGUUUCAUAGCUGUGGAAAAGCCAAAGGGGAGACUCCUGAAGAAAGGCGGUGAAGACUGUGAAGAGCGGGUCAGGAAGAUGAGCACAGCACUGCUACUCCUGUGGGCACAGGGACAGCAUGUCUCCAGCCAGCGCCACCUUGUUUAAUACAUGGGAACUCACUGAAAUUCAUUCUGUAUUUUGCCCGCAAAGUUUUAAAGCUUUCAUCCACAGUCAGGAAUUAAACUUAUACCAAUGAGAGCCUCACACAUUCAAGGAUGUACUAAGCACUACAGGCCUCACAGAAACAGAGAUCCCAUCUUGGAGUUUUCAGUACCACAUGGGAGAUAAAGGGUUUUGAACAUGAAAUGACAAAAACAACAGCAAGAAGAAAAUUCUUGUCCUUUUUCAUUACUAUCAGACUCAAAUAAAUGUCUUGGCUCUUACAUUACAUUCAUUCUUCAACCAUUGUGGUCUGGCUUCCACUUCCUUCACUUCACCAACAUGGCUCUGCCAAAGGAAGCCCGUGAUCUCUAGGCCAUCACUUUAAUUGAUCUUUCUACAACAUUUAUCCUGGUUGUUAAGCCCUCCUUACAACAUUCUUCUCUCUUUGUUUUUAUAGCUCCAUCUCUCCUGCUUCUUUAACUUGAUAAUGCAUACUUGAUUUUUCUAUUUGUUAUUUCAUAAACCAAUUAAUACACAGAUAAAAUGACUGUAUAUCAAACCAUGUUUGUAUAGAAAAAAUGGAUUUUGGAUGCCUCUCAUAUGUAAUUAGUUCUAUUAAACAUAUUAAUUGUAUUGUUUAAUUUGUCAGGUUUUUGACAGAAUUUUGUUUACAAGUAAUAAAAAUUUUAUCUCCAAUUUUC